GAUGAACGCUAGCGGCAGGCUUAAUACAUGCAAGUCGAGGGGCAGCAGCUUUGUAGCAAUACAAGGGCUGGCGACCGGCAAACGGGUGCGGAACACGUACGCAACCUUCCUUUAACUGGGAGAUAGCCCACCGAAGGGUGGAUUAAUAUCCCAUAGUAUAUUUGAGUGGCAUCACUUAGAUAUUAAAGCUCCGGCGGUUAAAGAUGGGCGUGCGUCUGAUUAGGUAGUUGGCGGGGUAACGGCCCACCAAGCCCACGAUCAGUAGCUGAUGUGAGAGCAUGGUCAGCCACACGGGCACUGAGACACGGGCCCGACUCCUACGGGAGGCAGCAGUAAGGAAUAUUGGUCAAUGGACGCAAGUCUGAACCAGCCAUGCCGCGUGGAGGAUGAAGGCCCUCUGGGUUGUAAACUUCUUUUCUUUGGGACGAAACCCCUGUUUCUACGGGGACUGACGGUACCAGAGGAAUAAGCACCGGCUAACUCCGUGCCAGCCGCCGCCGUAA
This 503-nucleotide ribosomal RNA is filed under the name uncultured bacterium. RNAcentral describes it as "partial 16S ribosomal RNA". It matches the Rfam family "Bacterial small subunit ribosomal RNA", at positions 28 to 523 of the family's 1533-position model. The record is from RNAcentral.